AACGAACGCUGGCGGCAUGCCUAACACAUGCAAGUCGAACGAUGCUUUCGGGCAUAGUGGCGCACGGGUGCGUAACGCGUGGGAAUCUGCCCUUGGGUUCGGAAUAACAGUGAGAAAUUGCUGCUAAUACCGGAUGAUGUCUUCGGACCAAAGAUUUAUCGCCCAGGGAUGAGCCCGCGUAGGAUUAGCUAGUUGGUGGGGUAAUGGCCUACAAAGGCGACGAUCCUUAGCUGGUCUGAGAGGAUGAUCAGCCACACUGGGACUGAGACACGGCCCAGACUCCUACGGGAGGCAGCAGUGGGGAAUAUUGGAAAAUGGGGGCAAGCCUGAUCCAGCAAUGCCGCGUGAGUGAUGAAGGCCUUAGGGUUGUAAAGCUCUUUUACCCGGGAUGAUAAUGACAGUACCGGGAGAAUAAGCUCCGGCUAACUCCGUG
This 433-nucleotide ribosomal RNA is filed under the name uncultured bacterium. RNAcentral's name for it is "partial 16S ribosomal RNA". It matches the Rfam family "Bacterial small subunit ribosomal RNA", at positions 29 to 507 of the family's 1533-position model. The record is from RNAcentral.